GCUUGGGAAGAUAAUGACGGUACCAGGAGGAGGAAGCCACGGCUAACUACGUGCCAGCAGCCGCGGUAAUACGUAGGUGGCAAGCGUUGUCCGGAAUUACUGGGCGUAAAGGGCGUGUAGGCGGCCAUUUAAGUCAGACGUGAAAGGCAUGGGCUUAACCCAUGAAGUGCGUUUGAGACUGGAGGGCUUGAGGACCGGAGAGGGCAGUGGAAUUCCCAGUGUAGCGGUGAAAUGCGUAGAUAUUGGGAGGAACACCAGUGGGGAAGGCGACUGCCUGGACGGCACCUGACGCUGAGGCGCGAAAGCUAGGGGAGCAAACGGGAUUAGAUACCCCGGUAGUCCUAGCCGUAAACGAUGGGUACUAGGUGUGGGAGGUAUCGACCCCUUCCGUGCCGCAGUAAACACAAUAAGUACCCCGCCUGGGGAGUACGGCCGCAAGGUUGAAACUCAAAGGAAUUGACGGGGGCCCGCACAAGCGGUGGAGCAUGUGGUU
Molecule: ribosomal RNA, 493 nt
Filed under: uncultured bacterium
Lineage: Bacteria
Description: bacterial SSU rRNA
Rfam family: Bacterial small subunit ribosomal RNA
Source: RNAcentral